AAAAAGAUAAGCUAAUAAAAGCUAUUGGGUUCAUACCUCAACUAUAAAGGUCAAGUCCUUUUCUUUUUA
This 69-nucleotide transfer RNA is filed under the name Curculionoidea sp. 2 KM-2015. Its description in RNAcentral is "tRNA-Met". Lineage: Eukaryota; Metazoa; Arthropoda; Insecta; Coleoptera. RNAcentral also lists the same sequence under 1 other name. The record is from RNAcentral.